Long non-coding RNA from Pan troglodytes (chimpanzee), 1147 nucleotides. RefSeq lists it as uncharacterized. The transcript is spliced from 6 exons. The record is from RefSeq and is a predicted model, not a curated record. NCBI's taxonomy places the organism in Eukaryota, Metazoa, Chordata, Mammalia, Primates, Hominidae.
GUGUCCACAUGAACUCUGAAGGAGGAAGCCAUGAUGUCAGCUAUCUGAUCCCUUUGUCAUCACUGCUAGACAGCCAGCAUGUAAUUUCAAAUGUCCAGUCCAUCCAUGAACAAUAUGUUAGCCUUUGGCCAGGCGGUGAGCUUCCAAAAUGCAAACAUCUCAGCCUCUGUCUGCAGAGGUGAGAAUUCAGCUCGGCAGAGGAAUGGGACACUGUCAAGGAAGACAAGCUUUUGGAGUCAGACAAUGCCAGCUAUUUGCUGAUCUAUUUGUUCAAUGCUGGUCUCCCACACUAGACCAUGAGCAGGAAGGAGAGGCAGCAUGCAACUGUGCUCGUUGUCUACACAGGGCCUAGCACUGGGCCUGGGCCAGGGCAGGCACCUGGGAGGACCUGUCUCCAAAGGCAGGAGGACAUUUAAAAAUGCAUGGGUCUCUGCUAGGUGACACAUCCUGCUUAGGAGUCUGCUGGCCUCCAGUCUGGGACAACAGAGCACUUCAAAUAGGCACCUGUGUUCAUCGCGGUGCUUUCUGUCCACACAGGGCCUUGGUUUCUGAGGCUGAGAGAGGAUAAGCUAAGCAAGGGGCAGAACAGGACACCGACCAUCUCCAGACCCCAGUACAACACAGAUGGCAGGCCAAAGAGGGACUGUGUCGUCUGAUUCAAGAGUACAGACUACACAGCCAGAAUAAUCGGGGCCUGGCUUGGACUCUCUUUAAAUAUUCAUUCCUCAUCUGUAAAAUGAGCAUAUGAGUCCCACUUCACCGGACUGUAGGACAUACGUGAAGGACUCUGCAGUGUCUGGAACAUAUUUAUGGCCCCUGAAAUAAAUAGUUAUUGAUGACAGAGAUGAAAAGAAGAAGAUCCAAUGGAGUAAUCUUCAAGGCCUGCUUCAAGUCUUGCCUUGAGAUUCUACAAUCUUCAGAAGAAAUAGCAGUACUUCCUAGCACACAGAUUGCUGCAAGAGAGAAGGUCACCUAUCUCCCCAGGUAGCCUCUCUCACCCUGACAAUGUAUCUUCACAGGUAAGGGACAAAGACAAGACUAGAAAUCAUCCCUCUGCCCACCUCAAGACAAAUGCAGAUCUGACUUCUUCUUCCUCUACUCUAUGUUUACCUUAUCUUAUGUAAAAUACAAGAUUUACUAAGCAGGA